UACAGAGGGUGCGAGCGUUGUCCGGAAUCACUGGGCGUAAAGGGCGCGUAGGCGGCUCAGUAAGGUUGCGGUGAAAGCCCGGGGCUCAACCCCGGGUCGGCCGUGGCAACUGCUGGGCUGGAGCACUGUAGAGGCAGGUGGAAUUCCGGGUGUAGCGGUGGAAUGCGUAGAGAUCCGGAAGAACACCGGUGGCGAAGGCGGCCUGCUGGGCAGUAGCUGACGCUGAGGCGCGACAGCGUGGGGAGCAAACAGGAUUAGAUACCCUGGUAGUCCACGCCGUAAACGAUGGGCACUAGGUGCUUGGGGGAGCGACCCUCCGAGUGCCGGCGCUAACGCAUUAAGUGCCCCGCCUGGGGAGUACGGCCGCAAGGCUGAA
Molecule: ribosomal RNA, 376 nt
Filed under: uncultured bacterium
Lineage: Bacteria
Description: bacterial SSU rRNA
Rfam family: Bacterial small subunit ribosomal RNA
Source: RNAcentral